Cataglyphis hispanica is the source of this 10778-nucleotide RNA transcript. It is a transcript of the gene named SET and MYND domain-containing protein 4, with no coding region annotated. NCBI's taxonomy places the organism in Eukaryota, Metazoa, Arthropoda, Insecta, Hymenoptera, Formicidae. The record is from RefSeq and is a predicted model, not a curated record. The transcript has 10 exons.
AAACCCCCUCAUAAAGCAUCGUGGCGGUGCAGGGAGGAGAGAGGCGUGAAGGAUCCCCGGGUACUGUGGUUUCCGCGGUGAAUGAGAGGAUCUUUAAAGUUUUACUCGUCGAGGGGUGACCCCCCUCGGGUGAUCCGUUUCAGUCAUUUUGUAUGCACUUGGGUGUCUCUCGGCCGAUAGUGCUUCGAAACGACGGAGAGAAUUCGAAAGAAAUGGCCGACUCGGGAAGGGGGUAGUGAAAAGUUGACGUAAACGGCGAAAAUAGAUUGUCAAGUGAUUUUUCAAAGGAUUACGGUAAACGCGAGUAAACGUUACUUAAACGAGUACUUAGACGGUAUUUGAAGCAGGAAUCAAAGCCGUUCUAAAUAAUUUGUGAGGUGAAGUGGAUGUAAAAAAGAAAUGUAAAUAAAAAGAAAUAAAAUAAAAUAAAAUAACAAUAUGAACAGAGGAGUCGUGCGAUAUAUUCAUACAUGGUGUUUUAACUAGCGAAGGAAGGACUUCUCGUCUGACGAGAGAGGCUUUUUAAAUUCGGGUCUCGCCUCUGAUAGAGGAUCCCCGAGUGGCCAUUUCUCACGGGCCAACAGAGUCGUUUAAUUCGCGAAACGAGAGAACAGGGAUCCGGACCACUGCUUUUUAUGAUUCAGUACUGGUGGAACAUCUUCCUCGAAUUCCUUCCGGCCGGACUUAUAUACGUACGGAGAAAAGUCGGCGAAAAGUGUGCGAAAAUUGCUGCGCGGAUUCUUAACGAAAUUUUCACCGACGACGAAAUAUUUUCGUCGCGGCUCCUUGGUAUUCCGGUCUCGUCGCGCCCGGUAAAUUCGCGUCGCGAGGACGUCCCGCUCUCCUCUUAAUCCCGGGGAGUUCGUAAAACGAGGUCGCGUGUUCGACGAGAACCACGGAUACAAAAUACCGAAACACUAGCUCCUGUAAUAUUGAAAAGCGGUCGAAGGGAAGGCGUGUUCGGCGACGCAAGACCUUAGAGAUAGACGACUAGUCGUCGCUAUACACUUGUAGCUUAUAUGCGGAAAUUGGGAGAAAUAAAAUAUUCUAGGAGGAGCUCUCUCUUUCUUACGCAAAUAAAAAUAUGCGAGAGAAGAUUCGAUCAGAAUAUAAUUAAUUAAAAAUAUAUAAAAAAACUGUGACAUACUGAGUAAGGGCUAAUUAAUUUCGAGAGAUGAAAAUUAAUAUGAGAAUUUUUGGAAGAUAAGUUUUUCUUUCAAGACGUGUAUAAAUGCAAGAGGAUAGAUUAAAGAAAGUGAUAGUAACGAGAAAUAACUAUGCGCUUUAAAUAAAGUGCAAAACACACGGAGGAGAGAAAGAGAGAAGAAGAAGUGUCACCGAGCAAUGCAAUUGUAACGAGAGGGUGUACUAAUCCGCGGAAAUUGGGAGAAAUAAAAUAUUCUAGGAGGAGCUCUCUCUUUCUUACGCAAAUAAAAAUAUGCGAGAGAAGAUUCGAUCAGAAUAUAAUUAAUUAAAAAUAUAUAAAAAAACUGUGACAUACUGAGUAAGGGCUAAUUAAUUUCGAGAGAUGAAAAUUAAUAUGAGAAUUUUUGGAAGAUAAGUUUUUCUUUCAAGACGUGUAUAAAUGCAAGAGGAUAGAUUAAAGAAAGUGAUAGUAACGAGAAAUAACUAUGCGCUUUAAAUAAAGUGCAAAACACACGGAGGAGAGAAAGAGAGAAGAAGAAGUGUCACCGAGCAAUGCAAUUGUAACGAGAGGGUGUACUAAUCCGCGAUAUAAAAACGGACGAGCCGUAUUUCAGUGUCGUCCAAAGGCGAUUCCUUCGCAUACGCACUCAACGAAUCUCGUUAACGGAGUUCGAGGUGAAGGAGGAAGAGAAGGCAGGCACAGCACGAAGGGGGGUGGCGGCGGCGGCUACGUCAUCGGGGGUGGAAAGGCGCGAGCGUCUUGCCGGGCGUCCAGCAAUGCAGGAUCGCGAUGAAUUUUACAGGAACCUCUGCUCGUCGGAGACCCUGCGCUCCGGCAAGAGGGGCUUCUUCCACGAUUUCAGCGAGUCCGUGAUGCGGAUGGCGGGCGCGACCUGGACGACCGAGGUAUUCGGCCGAAUCGAGGACGACGCGGGUCGGGUGAGGGCGAUCUUCGCCGACCCGAGGAUACGGCAUGUCGUGAUCGACACGCUGGCGAGGGUGAAGCCACUUUAUAGGGACAAGGACGCCGACAUUUCUAAACGCAGACGACUCGAGGGGUACCAGCUCGCCGCCAUCGGCCAAUACGACAAGGCUCUCCUGCUGUUCAGUCAGGCCGUUCUGCGUGCGCCUCAACGAGAUAAGGGUAAGACGGUCGAUCAGGACAUGUCGUUGCCCCUGGCACUCUUGGGGAGAGCCGAGAUCUUUAUGGCACUUAAGGAAUACCAUUUCGCGUUGGAGGAUCUGCGACUGGCCGGCGAGUACGACUUGCCGGAUAAAUCGAUGCAGGAGCUUCGGCGAAGGAGGGAGGAGUGCGAAUGUUUCUUGAGAGUCAACGAGAAAUCUCUGACGCCGGUCGAUCUCGCCAAUAACGUUGACAAGGUGACUCGAUUAAUCUUGAAUGAAGAAAAAGACGGUGCUGGCAGGCCGUUAAACGGCGCCGUUAAUUCCGAGGCGCGCUGGUCGUCCGACGCCCUGGAGAUCCGUGAGACCUCGGUAGCGGGUAAACACGCCGUCGCAGCCACGGAGAUACAUCCGGGCGAUACUCUGGUAGUUGAGGGACCGUUGGCGGGCUGCCUCCUACCCGAGUUCUACGGCACCCAUUGUCAGCAUUGUUACGCGAGACUGAAAGCGCCGAUCGGAUGCCCGAAUUGCAGCUGCGUCACUUUCUGCGGGAGAAAAUGCAGGGACAUCGCGAUGGCGACGUAUCACAAGUACGAGUGCAAAAUACUUGCAUUGUUGAUUGGCUCCGGCAUGAGCGUACUCAGCAUGGUCGCCUUUCGGAUGGUGACGCAGGAGGGUCUGCGGAAGUGUUUGAAGAUCUACGAAGAGCUGGAGAAGGCUGACGACGAGAAGGCCGCGACGUCUUUGACGACGACGACGACGACGAUACCGGAUACGCAUGAUGCGAAAUCGUCGGCAAAUAGCCGGUCGGCCAGGAGAAGAAUCAGACGGAGGAAGCUGAAGGAAUGCAGACGACGCGAGGGCGGAAUUGAGAUGAGGGGGAGGGAGGGGCAGGACACAAAGGGGUCCCGCGAGAGCGGCCACGACCACGACGACGACGACGACGACAAUGUCGACAUGGCAGCGUACAAUCUGGUGACGCACGCGAACAAGCGUACGGGGAGCGACUUCCUGGAGAGAUCGCUGAUGGCGGCCUUCCUGCUCAGAUGCCUGCAGAGAGUCGGCUUCUUCGCGCAUCCCACGCCGGACGACGAGGUCCCGGGCGCCGAGGAGAUCAUCGUGGCCGCCCUGCUGCUGAGGAACCUGCAGCUGCUCCAAUUCAACGCCCACGAGUUCUUCGAGACGCGGUUGAGCGCGGGGCAUCGAUUCCGCUGCAGCCGUCCGGUCUACCUCGGGGUGGCGAUUUAUCCCACGGUCGCCCGUUUCAAUCACGACUGCUACCCCGCGGUGACGAGAUACUUCGUCGGCCGGCACAUCGUAAUAAGGGCAGUUCGCGGUUUACAACCCGGCGACGUUAUUGCCGAAAACUACGGACCGAUAUUCACGAAGAGAACGCUCGCCGAGCGUCAAAGGACAUUAACGGGAAGAUACUGGUUCCGAUGCACAUGCCAGGCCUGCCAAGAGGACUGGCCGUACUUUGAGAACCUGACGAACGAUGCCGUCAGAUUGAGGUGUCCUACGGAAGGAUGCAGCGGAUUGCAUUCGCGGGCGCAGCAACGGCCGGGUAAGCCGAUAAAAUGUCCGGAUUGUCGGAAGAAGAUCUGCUUGGAGGAUCGGCUCGCGUGUCUGCAAGAGUGCGAGACGCUCUACGCCCGCGGAUUGGCCAGCAUGGAGGAUGAGAGGGUUGACGAGGCAAUCGGGAUACUGUGCGACGCCUUGAAGAGAUUUCAUCGAGUCGCCUAUCCACCGCAUCGGGACACCCACCUGGCCGAAAUUGCCUUAAGCUCCUGUCUGAUCGAUUACGGGAACACUUGGAGACCGGCCGUGCUUUGUGAACGCACGUGAAAGGGAGAAAAAGGAAGCUGGCUGUAUCGUAGAUACAGGAAUCUCGACGAAUCUACGCCGAGUGAAGUGUCCUUGGAACAAAAGACGAGGAUUACGACCAUUCGGAUUAGACUUGGAACGAGAGAAACGUUAUCCUUAUUGCCUUUAUGAAAUAGCUCGGUUCCAAGAAAACGUAAAAAAAAACUUCUCGCGAAUAGAAUAAAAAAGAUUUCGCCCGCCGCUUGAACGACGUCACGUCGCGCCCAUAACGUCAUAUAAUUUAUACACGCUAAUACUCACGCGUACAUAUGUACAUCGACCUAUCUUGGGCCGUUUUUAUCCCCGGUUAACAUCGAUAUACACCAGAAACAAAUGGCGAUAAAUGAUAUUGCGAGCGCGAAUCAACCGUGUGGCGAGGUAGAUAUCGAUAUCGGAAAAUUACAGGGCGAAGCGUCGACCUGGAAGUCAACUUUUUUAAUUUCGCCUGCGCGCAAAGCGCGGGCAAUCAAUCGGUUCAUCCGAGAUCUCUCUUGAUUGCCUUUACUGUGUGUAUAUUUAUAUAUAUGUAUGUAUGUGUGCAGGAUGUGUAUCGUAUCUCUAUAUGUGAAAACAUACGAUGAGGAGUUUCUUAUAAGUCGUACACGUUUUUCUCCUGCAUCCUCGUUCGCGAAAAGCAUGGAAUUCUGCCAAUCUUAACGUUCAUUUAGAUAUCCCGUCACGCCAUUUAAACAACUGUGUAUAUAAUAUGUGUAAAAAAAAAAGAACGUAAUGAACUGAAUAAGACGCGUCGAGAUUGUGAAAAUAAAUAAUGGUUUUUCUCUUUGAGAUGAAAGAAAUAAAAUAAUGGUUUUUCCCCUCCUUUGAGAUAUACAGACGACCCUUUCGCGUGAUAUACUAGAGUAUAUUUGCUAUAGCGUGCGGCAAAAAUGCAUACGAACUGCCGGAUUUAUAUAGUGGUUGCGUGCUCACGUAUUGUAUAAUAUAUAUUUGGAUUAAGGGCUUUCAAAUCCGACACAACCCGUUAAUCUCUUUCAACGUUUGGGACUGAAGAGAAAUGCGCGUGACAAUUGUGGCGGCCACCUUACUGCGACACCUUAAGCCAUGUAUUUCAGAAAGUGCACCGAAAAUAUGCUAAAUGUAAUAUCGAUUUUCAAUUUUGAAAUUAUCUUUGCAUUUACACAUAAAUAUAAAAUAUUAUAUUGAAAGUACAAUAUAUUCUUUUUUCAAAUAUGAUUCGAGACGCUAUUGAUAUUUAGUUUUACUGCGACUAUAUGUAUAUCAAUGCUUAAUUUUUUUUUUAAUGAUUAUCCACCGAUCAUCGAUCAUAGAUCAGAUUGAUAUGUAUUUUUUACUUAUAUUUGAAAAUUAUAUUUUUUGUUUAAAAAUAGCAAGGUUUGGAAAUGUAGCCUGUUAAGUUUUUGAUAAUUAUAGGAGAUAAAUAUAUGUAUUUUUUUUUUUAUUUAGCAUAAAAUUUGGAUUAUGGAGCAUCGUUAUUAAGGAUGUAUAUGUCAUAUGUUAAAGGCAUGAAAAUUUCAUAGACUGUUCUAUUUUUUCUAAAUAUCUGUGCAAAACUAGAGCACAAUUUCCUUAACGAUUUAAAAAAAAAUAAUUUAAGUUUAAAGUUAUUGUAGCACUUAUUGACAAAUUUGACAAAGAAAAAAACAUUGCCGACGAAAUAAAAACUUUCACAUAUAUUAUUAAGAAAACUCUAUUAAAUACUUGUGCAAAACUUUAUUUAAAUUCACUUACUCAUUUAAAAGUUAUUUACUAAAAAUUGUAGAAAAAUAUUAUCUCUCUCUCCCUCUCUGUAAAUCAUUGGUUUUUUUUUAUUUCUUGCAAUUAAUUUUAGGGGAUAUUCACAAUCCAAAAUUUUUGUCAUAAAUUAGAAAAAAAUCUUACAACUAUUUUCUUUUACGAAGACGUUAAAAAUUAUAUUAUUUUGAUACUUUAAUUUUUUUUAUAAUCAGGAUUUAUUUAUUUGAUUUUUUAAACAGUAUAUAAACGUAAGAAAUAUAUAUUUUCUUUUCUUGCUAUUAUUGUACAGCAAAAAAUCCUUAAAUAUUCUUUAGUGCACCUAUCUUAAAUAUUGAUAUAAACAUUUUCCUGGGAGGAAACGCUGCAAGUUUAACGCGAAAAGUUUCUGCAAAUUUAAAAGCAGUUUCCGAUAUCAAAAGCGGCGUAUCUCUCCAGGUAAUGCAUUUCGCUGCCGAUAGAUGAAAAAUUUAAACGUAUCGUUAAACUAUAUUCGAGCGUCGUUCGAUGCGCGACCCGUGCAAUUUAUAAUUCAUAAUGAUGAUAAAUCCAUAAUAUCAGAGACGAAUCCGCUGUGUCAAUUAUGAUACCAGUUACUGCUGAUCGUUGCUGCACGAGAGAUUAACGCCGGGACGGAAAAUUAAUUUAUAUACCUCGCGAAAGGUGAUUAAGUGCCGCCGUAAUGCCGGUAUUGUUGGAAAUUUCCCAUGACAGAAAUGCAUUAUACCUAUAACACUCUCUCUCUCUCUCUCUCUCUCUCUCUCUCUUUCGGCUCCGAUCAACUUCGUCGCGUGAAAUUAUGCGUGUACGAAUCCAUCGAGAGGAUUCAUAAAUUUUUCAUUACCUCAGAAAUUUCUACCCGUAAAUGGCAAAGAUUAAAUAUGUGCUGUUCGUAUUCGAUAGCAAAUUUACAAUAUUUAGAAAAAUAUUGAGAUAAAUUAAUACUAAUAUAAUUGAAUAAAUUUUGUCAAAAUAUUUACACGCAGUUCGACUAUUAAUCCAAUUAUAAAUUUUGCUUUUUUACCGUCUCGUAUUAUUUUCAUUUCGUUCAACUCGAUCGGUCAUAAUAAUUUUUAAAUAAAAUCAUAAAUUCUUCGUUAAUAUUUUCACAAUAUCGAAUUGCUCUCGUGAAUUGAUUUCGUGACAAUGACGUGAUACUCGAGAGGAGAAAAGAUAAACAGGGGAGGGGGGAGUGGGGGGUGGGAAUAAACAGGGAAGAGCGAGAUAAAACAAAACUCGUGUUUGGUUCCAUUGACUUUUGCAAUUUUUUUGGUAGAUUUAUUUUUUAUAAUGCACAUGUUUCUCGUGAAAAAAUUAAAUUCCGUGUAUAUGAAAUUAGCAUUUAGAGCUUCAUGUUUCGGUACAAAAUUCAUUGUUGUGUAGAGGAAGGGCAGUCGACGGACGACUGUUAUACCCGGGGACACGCUCGGACGACGACGACGACGGCGUCGGCGUCCGGUGUUCGUCGAGGUCUUUUGAUACAUUUUUCUCUUCUUUUUUUUCUUUUCUCUCUUUGUCUCUCGAAAGUUGAACGUCUCCUCGAUCGCGAUUUCGGUUCUUUUUCCCCUGUCUUUUACCUUUUCCAUUUUUCGUCCACAUCUAUAUAUAUAUAUAUAUAUAUAUAUAUAUAUAUAUAUAUAUAUAUAUAUAUAGAUGUAGAUAUAACUCGAGUAUCGUCUUUACUCGCGUGAAACUCGAAUCGGAUCUAAUUGACUGUCGCGACGUGAUAUCCUCUUUUAUUGCGAUUAUUUUCUUCGGUAGACACGCGACGCGAAUGCACGACGGAAAUUUCGAACGAAAAGGGACGCGUCACCCACCUCUUCCCUUCUUACCCGAAAAUUCUUCCUGAGAGGAUCAAUUUUUUCUUUUUUCGUUAUCUUUUCUCGAUAAAUUAAGCUUUUCUUCUUCGGCGAGAGGAGAGAACCGAAAAAACGCCAAUGACAAUCGCGAAAUUUAGCGACGCGGGCCAUUAAUUCGCAAAAUAUUAUAUUUCGGAGGAUCGGAUUGAUAUUUCGAGUGGGCAAUCCACAUACGAUCGGACGCUUCGUAUGUCAAAUAAUCUCGAUGCUCGUGGAGAAGAUAUUUGACAUACAAAGAACCGGCUUAUGGAGAUUGUGCCUCGUGGAAAAAAUUCCGCUUACUUUUCCUCCCGCGAACUUAUUCGCGUCGCCCGAUCGUAAGCCGUCUUUCUCUCUCAAUUUAUGUAAGGAACGACGUUUUUUUUUUUUUCACGAUUGACUGGCGGCUGCUGCGUCGAAAAAAAAAAAUGUUUCGACGACAGCGAUGAUCCGAACGACGAAGCACAAACUGUGCGAGAGAUUUUUUUUUUGUUCUCGGUUGCAAUCUUAGGUACCGUUCCUUUUUUUUUUUUUACCGCGUAUAAGUUUAAUUGCUGGAAAUUCUCGUCGUUAUUCUGUUUCUUUCUUUUUUUUUUUUGGGCUUUACGACUUUUAUCGCUUUGACUCUGAUAUUCACUGUUAACACAUGCAUUGUUCUUUUUUUGCAGUUACAAUCGCGCGCCCGCACGGCGCGCUCGCUUCGAGUUUUUGCUUGUUUCGCGCCUCUCUCUCCGCUGUGUCUCGAGAGGCCGGUCUCUCUUGUGUGGAUUCUUUUGUAGUUUUAUUUUUUUUUCUUUUUACUUCUUUCUACCGUUUUUUUUUCGUGGGAACGCGCGGUUACGUUAGACAACGGAGGGUGAUUACGUUAAACAAAACGCGGGCCCGAAGAGCCGCCGCACGAUUUUGUGCCAACGGACACGGAUUGCAGUUUAAUAGAAAAGCGAAAAAAAAAACAAAAAACGCGAGGGACGACACGUACGUGUCGAUCGAUAUAACGUAUCUCGUGUCCGCUGGGUUCCCUCUUAUACGGGGAUCGAGUGAGAAAGAUUUUCGGCGAUCAUCGGCGCGGGAUCGACAUUCUCGAUCAAGAUUGCUUCGCUUAAAUGUAUGUAUACUUUUUUUUUUUCCUACGCUUGUAAAAGUGUAAAUACGCGAGCACGCCCGCGUAACGUAACCGCGCGUUUAUCUCUCUCCACUUGGCACCACACUCACGCACACGCAUUAUUUCCUCUUCUUCGUCUUAUUAACUUCCUUAAAUUGCUUCGCUUAUCCUAAACCAAAUCGGAUGCGUUUCAAUAUUCCUCGAAUACUCAAUCUUUCCGAUUUUUGGCUACACAGAGAUAUUAUGCAAUUUCACGAAGACACACUUGGGUUGCGGCUUGGCAAAGCGCUACUUGACAAACGGGAUAUGAUAGGAAAAUGUGAAACAAUUAAAAACGAUUAUCGUGAUGUGUAGGAUAAUAUCUUGGGCGGAAUUAAUCUUCUGGCGCCUAGACAAGAUGCGGCUACUUGCUACUGUCAGUGGAAAGUGUUGGUCAAAAUAUAUUCGCGAACAAGGAUUUUGAAUACCUAUUUGUCGCCCAAUGCAUUGACGCGUAUAAAAAAAAUGCACGUUAAUACAUUUGUUGCACAAAAAUCUGUACAUUCUAUGUUUUAUAUACGCUAAUAAAUUCGCCAAUUUAUAUUCAUAUUCGAAAUCAUGUAUCAUCUGCGAAUAUGUUUCACGCAACACUGAUCGUUUUUGAUCGACGAGCACAGACGACGGAAACAAUAAACACCAUAUGAUGUCGGUAAGCUACAUCCAAAUGACACGAAGACCUUUGAAAGAUGUCUGUCUUGUCAUACAUUUCCGCGGAUGUGUCGCCUGGAUAUAGACUUUAAAUGGAAAAAAAAAGAUACAAAUCCAAUUAGAAAAUUUCGCCAAAUAUAAAGAUAAUUUCGUUUUUUUUUUUUUUCUUUUUUCUUUUUACAGAAAGUAGACGUAUAUAUAUUUCUUUUAUUAUCCGUCGACGAUACUACAAACUAAAAUUUUAAAAAUUAUUUUCAUGCAAAAUUAUAUAAAGUUUGUUUUCUCUCUCUCUUAUUCUCUCUCUCUCUCGUCUUCAUACUCUCAUGACAGUCUAUGUUAUCCGUAUUGUCAAUCAAGCCGAUGUGUGAUACGCCCGGCUCUUGUUUCAAAAUGUCAAAUCGAGUCGAUUGUCGCAUAAAAGCAAACGUUCAGUGGUUUACUAAAAAACGACUCGCCCGGUGCACAGUCGACCGAUGUCAAUUCUAGAAACGACCGGACGAUUUAUUCACGCUCGGGACGCGAAAGUUUGCGAGAUGUCGUGAGGUGACUUUUUCGGGCUGCAAGCAUCAAAGUACGACCAAAAAUUGUUUUUCUCUCAGCGAAGCACUGCAGACACUGUCCCAUCAUUCUCCUUAUCGAUCCUAUCCCAAAUAUUAUCCGCAUUAUCGGAUCUGAAUGUAUCUCGGAGUAGACGGGAAAUCUCACAAACUUUCGCGUCCUAAUUCGCGAUUAAUCAAUAAUGCGUAAAUUCAAAACAACAAUAAUCGCUAAUUAAUUGUACACCGCGGAACCCGCCAGGGGCCAGUAUUGACAAUUAUAAAAAAUAUGACCAAGAUAAAUGCUAUUACAAUAAUCGUUUCUACGUGUAACAAAUCGCUUAUAAGAUAUAGUAUAAGAAAGUAUAAGAAAAUUUAGACUCGGCACAACCGCAUUAUCGUGUUUAAGGAGCGUACUUCAAAAUUGAAACUGGAUUUACGCUACACGCUUAUUGAUCAACGCAAGGUAAUGUUGCCUAAAAGAGCGAAAGCAAUACGGUAGUCCGCCCAAUUUUGAUGUAUAAAGUCGAAUAUGAACGAAUGAUUUCGAGACAGACAAAAAUUCGAGUGGAACCCUCGUUCAAUAUCAAUCGAUUUUUCUUUUUCCUUUCAUGGAAAAGUCGCCGAAAGUGAAGAAAAACUCGCGGAAAUAUAGCAAUUAACUCAAAUAUCGCACAUGAAACGAUUUGUAAAUGCGUCUUGCCGGAGAAAAAUCAGAAGUAAUAUACGAAACGAGAAAUACACAAAAAAAAAAACAAAAAAAAAACAAAA